UGGGGAAUAUUGCACAAUGGGCGAAAGCCUGAUGCAGCGACGCCGCGUGAGGGAUGACGGCCUUCGGGUUGUAAACCUCUUUCAGCAGGGAAGAAGCGAAAGUGACGGUACCUGCAGAAGAAGCACCGGCUAACUACGUGCCAGCAGCCGCGGUAAUACGUAGGGUGCGAGCGUUGUCCGGAAUUAUUGGGCGUAAAGAGCUUGUAGGCGGUUUGUCGCGUCUGCUGUGAAAAUCCGGGGCUCAACCCCGGACUUGCAGUGGGUACGGGCAGACUAGAGUGUGGUAGGGGAGACUGGAAUUCCUGGUGUAGCGGUGAAAUGCGCAGAUAUCAGGAGGAACACCGAUGGCGAAGGCAGGUCUCUGGGCCACUACUGACGCUGAGAAGCGAAAGCAUGGGGAGCGAACAGGAUUAGAUACCCUGGUAGUCCAUGCCGUAAACGUUGGGCGCUAGGUGUGGGACUCAUUCCACGAGUUCCGUGCCGCAGCUAACGCAUUAAGCGCCCCGCCUGGGGAGUACGGCCGCAAGGCUAAAACUCAAAGGAAUUGACGGGGUCAUAGCUGUUUCCU
Molecule: ribosomal RNA, 568 nt
Filed under: uncultured bacterium
Lineage: Bacteria
Description: partial 16S ribosomal RNA
Rfam family: Bacterial small subunit ribosomal RNA
Source: RNAcentral